RNAcentral lists this ribosomal RNA (207 nucleotides) under uncultured bacterium. Its description in RNAcentral is "partial 16S ribosomal RNA". It matches the Rfam family "Bacterial small subunit ribosomal RNA", at positions 568 to 774 of the family's 1533-position model. The record is from RNAcentral.
CGUGUAGGUGGUUCGGAAAGUCGGAUGUGAAAGUCCGGAGCUCAACUCCGGAAGUGCAUCCGAUACUCUCGAGCUCGAGUCUCGGAGAGGAAGGCAGAAUUCCCAAUGUAGGGGUGAAAUCCGUAGAUAUUGGGAGGAAUACCGGUGGCGAAGGCGGCCUUCUGGACGAUGACUGACACUGAGACGCGAAAGCGUGGGGAGCAAACA